This 77-nucleotide transfer RNA is filed under the name Photorhabdus heterorhabditis. RNAcentral describes it as "tRNA-Lys". The record is from RNAcentral. Lineage: Bacteria; Pseudomonadati; Pseudomonadota; Gammaproteobacteria; Enterobacterales; Morganellaceae.
GUCAUUAGCGUAGUCGGCAGAGCCGUUGACUUUUAAUCAAUGGGUCGCAGGUUCGAGCCGAGCGAAGCGAGACAACA